GUGGGUAAGGGUAAAACCAAAAUCCCACUUUAUGGCUGAAAAAAUCUAUUCUCAGAGAGAUAAAGCAAUAACAUAGAGGUUGUACUCGAUUCUACGAUGAUUAACCAUCAUUUAAGAAUAACUAUCGUAACUGGUAGAUGUUAGGUAUGAAGUAAUAAAAUCUGUGCUAAAAGUUGUAGGUAAUCGCAAAUCCUACAUCCC
Molecule: non-coding RNA, 201 nt
Filed under: unclassified sequences
Description: manA RNA
Rfam family: manA RNA
About the family: manA RNA has been located in 5'UTR regions of genes of mannose or fructose metabolism.
Source: RNAcentral